Molecule: ribosomal RNA, 164 nt
Filed under: Thalictrum actaeifolium
Lineage: Eukaryota; Viridiplantae; Streptophyta; Magnoliopsida; Ranunculales; Ranunculaceae
Description: 5.8S ribosomal RNA
Rfam family: 5.8S ribosomal RNA
About the family: 5.8S ribosomal RNA (5.8S rRNA) is a component of the large subunit of the eukaryotic ribosome. It is transcribed by RNA polymerase I as part of the 45S precursor that also contains 18S and 28S rRNA.
Source: RNAcentral
UGAACGACUCUCAGCAACGGAUAUCUCGGCUCUUGCAUCGAUGAAGAACGUAGCGAAAUGCGAUACUUCGUGUGAAUUGCAGAAUCCCGUGAACCAUCGAGUCUUUGAACGCAAGUUGCGCCCGAGGCCUUUUGGUCGAGGGCACGUCUGCCUGGGCGUCACGC